RNAcentral lists this ribosomal RNA (2787 nucleotides) under Escherichia coli. Its description in RNAcentral is "bacterial LSU rRNA". It matches the Rfam family "Bacterial large subunit ribosomal RNA". The record is from RNAcentral. Lineage: Bacteria; Pseudomonadati; Pseudomonadota; Gammaproteobacteria; Enterobacterales; Enterobacteriaceae.
AGCGUACACGGUGGAUGCCCUGGCAGUCAGAGGCGAUGAAGGACGUGCUAAUCUGCGAUAAGCGUCGGUAAGGUGAUAUGAACCGUUAUAACCGGCGAUUUCCGAAUGGGGAAACCCAGUGUGAUUCGUCACACUAUCAUUAACUGAAUCCAUAGGUUAAUGAGGCGAACCGGGGGAACUGAAACAUCUAAGUACCCCGAGGAAAAGAAAUCAACCGAGAUUCCCCCAGUAGCGGCGAGCGAACGGGGAGCAGCCCAGAGCCUGAAUCAGUGUGUGUGUUAGUGGAAGCGUCUGGAAAGGCGCGCGAUACAGGGUGACAGCCCCGUACACAAAAAUGCACAUGCUGUGAGCUCGAUGAGUAGGGCGGGACACGUGGUAUCCUGUCUGAAUAUGGGGGGACCAUCCUCCAAGGCUAAAUACUCCUGACUGACCGAUAGUGAACCAGUACCGUGAGGGAAAGGCGAAAAGAACCCCGGCGAGGGGAGUGAAAAAGAACCUGAAACCGUGUACGUACAAGCAGUGGGAGCACGCUUAGGCGUGUGACUGCGUACCUUUUGUAUAAUGGGUCAGCGACUUAUAUUCUGUAGCAAGGUUAACCGAAUAGGGGAGCCGAAGGGAAACCGAGUCUUAACUGGGCGUUAAGUUGCAGGGUAUAGACCCGAAACCCGGUGAUCUAGCCAUGGGCAGGUUGAAGGUUGGGUAACACUAACUGGAGGACCGAACCGACUAAUGUUGAAAAAUUAGCGGAUGACUUGUGGCUGGGGGUGAAAGGCCAAUCAAACCGGGAGAUAGCUGGUUCUCCCCGAAAGCUAUUUAGGUAGCGCCUCGUGAAUUCAUCUCCGGGGGUAGAGCACUGUUUCGGCAAGGGGGUCAUCCCGACUUACCAACCCGAUGCAAACUGCGAAUACCGGAGAAUGUUAUCACGGGAGACACACGGCGGGUGCUAACGUCCGUCGUGAAGAGGGAAACAACCCAGACCGCCAGCUAAGGUCCCAAAGUCAUGGUUAAGUGGGAAACGAUGUGGGAAGGCCCAGACAGCCAGGAUGUUGGCUUAGAAGCAGCCAUCAUUUAAAGAAAGCGUAAUAGCUCACUGGUCGAGUCGGCCUGCGCGGAAGAUGUAACGGGGCUAAACCAUGCACCGAAGCUGCGGCAGCGACGCUGAUGCGUUGUUGGGUAGGGGAGCGUUCUGUAAGCCUGUGAAGGUGUGCUGUGAGGCAUGCUGGAGGUAUCAGAAGUGCGAAUGCUGACAUAAGUAACGAUAAAGCGGGUGAAAAGCCCGCUCGCCGGAAGACCAAGGGUUCCUGUCCAACGUUAAUCGGGGCAGGGUGAGUCGACCCCUAAGGCGAGGCCGAAAGGCGUAGUCGAUGGGAAACAGGUUAAUAUUCCUGUACUUGGUGUUACUGCGAAGGGGGGACGGAGAAGGCUAUGUUGGCCGGGCGACGGUUGUCCCGGUUUAAGCGUGUAGGCUGGUUUUCCAGGCAAAUCCGGAAAAUCAAGGCUGAGGCGUGAUGACGAGGCACUACGGUGCUGAAGCAACAAAUGCCCUGCUUCCAGGAAAAGCCUCUAAGCAUCAGGUAACAUCAAAUCGUACCCCAAACCGACACAGGUGGUCAGGUAGAGAAUACCAAGGCGCUUGAGAGAACUCGGGUGAAGGAACUAGGCAAAAUGGUGCCGUAACUUCGGGAGAAGGCACGCUGAUAUGUAGGUGAAGCGACUUGCUCGUGGAGCUGAAAUCAGUCGAAGAUACCAGCUGGCUGCAACUGUUUAUUAAAAACACAGCACUGUGCAAACACGAAAGUGGACGUAUACGGUGUGACGCCUGCCCGGUGCCGGAAGGUUAAUUGAUGGGGUCAGCGCAAGCGAAGCUCUUGAUCGAAGCCCCGGUAAACGGCGGCCGUAACUAUAACGGUCCUAAGGUAGCGAAAUUCCUUGUCGGGUAAGUUCCGACCUGCACGAAUGGCGUAAUGAUGGCCAGGCUGUCUCCACCCGAGACUCAGUGAAAUUGAACUCGCUGUGAAGAUGCAGUGUACCCGCGGCAAGACGGAAAGACCCCGUGAACCUUUACUAUAGCUUGACACUGAACAUUGAGCCUUGAUGUGUAGGAUAGGUGGGAGGCUUUGAAGUGUGGACGCCAGUCUGCAUGGAGCCGACCUUGAAAUACCACCCUUUAAUGUUUGAUGUUCUAACGUUGACCCGUGAUCCGGGUUGCGGACAGUGUCUGGUGGGUAGUUUGACUGGGGCGGUCUCCUCCUAAAGAGUAACGGAGGAGCACGAAGGUUGGCUAAUCCUGGUCGGACAUCAGGAGGUUAGUGCAAUGGCAUAAGCCAGCUUGACUGCGAGCGUGACGGCGCGAGCAGGUGCGAAAGCAGGUCAUAGUGAUCCGGUGGUUCUGAAUGGAAGGGCCAUCGCUCAACGGAUAAAAGGUACUCCGGGGAUAACAGGCUGAUACCGCCCAAGAGUUCAUAUCGACGGCGGUGUUUGGCACCUCGAUGUCGGCUCAUCACAUCCUGGGGCUGAAGUAGGUCCCAAGGGUAUGGCUGUUCGCCAUUUAAAGUGGUACGCGAGCUGGGUUUAGAACGUCGUGAGACAGUUCGGUCCCUAUCUGCCGUGGGCGCUGGAGAACUGAGGGGGGCUGCUCCUAGUACGAGAGGACCGGAGUGGACGCAUCACUGGUGUUCGGGUUGUCAUGCCAAUGGCACUGCCCGGUAGCUAAAUGCGGAAGAGAUAAGUGCUGAAAGCAUCUAAGCACGAAACUUGCCCCGAGAUGAGUUCUCCCUGACUCCUUGA